This is a non-coding RNA of Caenorhabditis elegans, 73 nucleotides long. The record is from the annotation of a RefSeq genome assembly. Lineage: Eukaryota; Metazoa; Nematoda; Chromadorea; Rhabditida; Rhabditidae.
UCCCGCAUGGCCGAGUGGUUAUUGCGUAUGUCUGCGAACAUUUUGGUCGUUGGUUCAAUUCCACCAACUGACA